Molecule: ribosomal RNA, 253 nt
Filed under: uncultured bacterium
Lineage: Bacteria
Description: partial 16S ribosomal RNA
Rfam family: Bacterial small subunit ribosomal RNA
Source: RNAcentral
UACAGAGGGUGCGAGCGUUAUUCGGAAUUACUGGGCGUAAAGGGCGCGUAGGCGGUAUGUCAAGUCGGUCGUGAAAUCCCUCGGCUCAACUGAGGAUCGUCGAUCGAUACUGCCGUUCUUGAGGAUUGCAGAGGAGACUGGAAUUCCCGGUGUAGCGGUGAAAUGUGUAGAGAUCGGGAGGAACACCGGUGGCGAAGGCGGGUCUCUGGGCAAUUCCUGACGCUGAGGCGCGAAAGCGUGGGGAGCAAACAGG